AGAACUACGUUGUAUUUAAUAAGGUUGAAGCAUUCUACCCUAUACAUACAAUAUAUAGCUGAAAAGGAAUCUAGUUAUCACUAUGUCGACUAUUCAUGCAUUCUACGAAUUGCAUAACUGCAUCCUUCGCACAACCAAACAACUAUGAAUCAUAAUACUAAAAAAAAACUAAAACUUCAGUUAAGUAUAAAACUAACUAUCAUUUUAUGCUAUUGAAUUACAAACUAGCGAGUUACACGAGUUUAUCAAUAUACUAUGAGUAUUGCAGCAACUAAUUAAACUUCUUCAAAAUCUUUCAUUCUCAUGCUUUCAACUGUUACGAUUACAUCGAUGUAGGAUUCGAAAUGUGUACCUGGAAUGCUGAAAUGCAAAGAAGAAGAAGAGGAUAGGGAAAAGUCAGCAGCAUCAGCAGAAGAUAGCAACCACAAACAACAAAUAACAGCAGCAAUGGCAAACCCAGGCAGGAUAAACCAAAAGUAACUCAAUGAUUUAGUUCCCAAUAUUCAAGUAAGAGAGUAAAGCCCAGUUGAGACCCAGGAAACUCCAAUGUCAUUCCAAACAGGUAACAGAUGGAUCCGAUACAACAAAAGAGUACAGUUGCUGAUUUUCAAAUACUUCAAAGCAAGGACCCUUAGUCUAAACUGAACCAGUAGCAGAUUAGAGCUAGUGUUCAAAAAGAAAAGAUGAAGAAAACAGUGUUUUCAGUUUCAAUCAAACAAACAAAAAUCUCUUUCUAUCUUCCCCUGAUUUCUGAACUCUCUUUUGCUAAGUUUCAUAACUAAAACCCUGCCCUUUCUAUUGCCUCAUUGAAUCUUUUAAAUUCAGAAAAUGUUUUCUUUCCUCCUCCUUCCCUCUUUUGUGUGUGUGUAUCUGUAUGUGUAUAUGUCUCUGUGUAUGUCUAUGUAUAUCUCUCUCUCCUCUCUCUCGUGUCUCCUCCUCUUUUUCAAUGGAAAUUCCCUCCUCUAUUUAUAACUGUUUCCAGACCAGUCACCACCUGUAAAACCAUUCAGACUCCCUCCUUUUCUGCUGUUUUUCCACUCAAACUUUUAAAAGUAAAACCCCUCCCAUGAUAUUCCCCUGACAGCCCUUCUAUCAUCUUAUUAAACUAAACAGAUGUAUGGUCAGCCUAAAUAUGCCCUGACAGCACAUGCUGUCAAGUUAUUUUAACCUCUAAAAGGCCUUAAUGCACAUGCUGUCCACAAGUGCACAUGCCCUCAAUUCAGACUGCAGCUAUAGACCAAUCCUUAAUUUUUCUGAUUCAAAUACACCAAUUAUAAGUAGCUAUACUCAAUUCCUAAUUUGAUUCAAACAAAGUUUCAACAGGAAAUAAAUCAAAUAGUUACCAUUCAAACAACUGAAACUAAUCGACGACACGUAUCGAAUCGACUAUACCAAUUAUAACAUAUACAAUCAAUAGCCAAGGAUCGGAAUCGAACAGUAUUGAACAAGGGGUUCAGAUUGCACUGUCAAAACAAAAAUAAUGACCCUGGGAACCAAUUAAUCGACCAAUUUUAAUUUCAGUUGGUUGUACGGUUUACACAUACACACAUUAUCAGUAAAUGAAGAAGGACUUGACCAAAUACAGAGGUCCGGGCAAGGUGGACAGAAACAGUCGACAAACAAUUCAAAAUAAAAUCAACUAAACAUUUGGGGCAAUGAACAGACAUUUAACUACAACAAACACAUGAACUGAUAAAAAAAAGAAAGCAAAAAUACCUUAAAAUCUUGAAAAAUCAGCAAGCCCUAGCUCGGAUUUGAAUCGACCUUUCUUGGGGUUGAAUGGACUUUAAUCGAAGUGUUCUCAACUGAGAACACUUCGAUUAAGGUCCAUUAGACCCUAAUCAUCUGGUUCAAACGGACAUAGAUCGGACUCAGGACUUCUAGGGUUCCUAAGGGUAGAUUUGGGAUUUAUGUUUCCCUGGUUAGAUUCGGACCAAACCAAGCCUGGUUUGGUCACGAGGGAGGUCAGGGGAGUGCCUGGUAUGAAUAUGGGGUAGAUCGGUGUAGAUCGAAGUUCUACUCGAAUCUCCAAAUGAAGAUUCGAGAACCUAGGGACUGAUUCGAACUAAGCGGUUGGUGGAUUUGGAUUCAGGAUGGUGAAGUGCAUCUAUGGUGUUAAGGUGGUUGUCACUGGCGUGCUUGCCGCCGGGUUUAAUGGUGAGGGGAAAGGGGGUGGCGUUAUGGUUUCGUGGGGUUUAGGGUCUGGUGAAGGAGAUGACUCAAGGGAGGGGUGCUUGGAUAGGGGGGGCAGGGUACGAUAUGGAGGCUUUUAUAUGGGGUGGAUGGUUGGGUCUUGGCCGUUAGAUCACUCGAGAUCAACGGCCUGGAUCCACAGGUUAAUCCAAACGGUGUCGUUUGGUUUAGUUAUUUUAGAGUUAAAUUUGCAAUUAUGUUUUGCGAACGUAUACAUAAUCGCAAUACUAAUCUAAAUCAGACCUAAAGCAAACUACGAAUAUUCAAAGCAAUAUCUAUGCUAACUUUAUAUUUAUAUAAGGGCCAUAAAUUAUAGGAUUUUAUUUGUGUAUGGCACACCUCCAAUUAUUAGUUCUUGAUCUAAAUUUGUGAGGGCCAUGUGUUAUAAGUUUAAAGCAAGGCACACCUCAAAUUAUUUUAAGAAAAAGGUUAUAUAUUUUAAAAGGCAAACUAAAGGUACUCCUAUUUUUAAUCUAAAUUAAAAAAAGUUAUCACAACCACGUAAUGGGAGCCAUACCCGUAGUUGUAAUAAUUUAAUUGUGCGCCUAAAGUAAACUACAGUAUUCAUGAGCUGUUGAGGCCAAUUAAUACGGUUAUAAAAGUCAUAGCCAUAUGGAAUUCAUUUGCUGAAAGAGAUGCAUUAACAUUAUUAAACAAAUUAAAUCCAAAGGGAAUCUCUCAAAGCUCACCGAUUCAGUUGAAAUCGUGGCAAACUUAGUCGAAACCAAUUAUGACUACAAGUAAUUAACACUACAGAAGAAAAGACUGAGAUUUUGAUUAAUUCUACAAUGACUUUUGAUUUUAAAAAAUGAAUUACGAGUUUGGAGAGGAGAGUAAUGAUUUCAAGAGCUUUAGUAACUGAUUUUAAAGGCCAAGAAUCUGGAUUGGUAACUUAAUUAGAUUCUUAAUGGAUCUGGAUAGAAUAUGCAAGGAUGGGCCGCUUGGCACGAAGAAUUGGACUAAACAAAAAUUUCAGUUCGGCCCAACAAGAAGGAGGUGUUGGUCGAUCCCGACACAAAUUUAAUUUUUUUUUACAAAUCAUUAAUCUAUCCAUGAAAUCAAACUCACAUACAAAAUCAAGAAAGAUAUUAAAGGCCAAACAAAUUACAAAUAUGUUCAAUUACAAUUCCCUAUUCAAACGUUGAAUCAUCAAAAAUCCUUUGGAAAGAAAAAAUCUCAUUGUUUCUUGUUUCUGGACUAUUUUGCCAUUUUUUUAAAGUAUUAUUACAAGUCAAUGUUCCCGAGUAUUAUUUUAACAACUAACACAAUCUACAUCUGCAAAAAAAACGUCAGGACCAUACUGCUUUUUGGCCUAGAAUACACUUGCAAAAAUUAUUCUCCAAAAUUACUACUCCACAUGUAGAGAGCAAAGAUACAGAAGCAACACAACCUUCAUGACUAAAUAGAUGAAAGCAAUUAUAUCAUUUUAGACCUUUAUGACUAAAUCGAUGAAAUUCUAAAAGAAAAAAGAUACACUUGUUCUCAAUAGGAUACUCAGUUUCUAGAAGGAAGUGUUUCAAAUUAACAAGUGAACUUCAUUUCCGUUUAGAAAAAUUAACAUAGAAAGAGCCACAAAUCCUUCCACUUUGUGUUGCUACUUAUAAUAUGAAUCUCAUAAUGGACAUAUUGUUCACCAAAUCGUACAUCAUAUGACAAACAAUAUCAGAUUUUAUUUAUUCAUUUGCAUAGGUAAAUACAGAGAAGACAUGCAACUCACCUGGUGUUAGAAGGAAAUCACUACCAACCAAACAGAAAUCUAAACGGAGAAAACAGAUAGAAUCCGUCACAUUUGACAAAAACAUCAGCAACCAAAUAAAGGCUGAGAAAGAUAUGAAUUGAGCCCAGCCAACGCAAAAUUAGCAGUCAAAAUCAACAUAAAUAAACGGCAAAUCCACAGCUUCAAGGACCAGAAAUCAACUCGAUCCAAACUCAUUCUUGAGAAACCAGAAUCAACAAAAAAUGCUGAAAACAUUUUUGUGCUUUUCUCUGAUUUUUCUUUUGAAAAUGAAACUCGAAUGAAGAAACAAACUCAGACCAUUUUUUUAUUUUUUAUUUUUUGAACAAAGGGUGUCGAAUUAGAGAAGAGAAGGUAACAGAAGAAGAAAAACUUCAAAACCCUAGAAAUUUACUACUAAAUUUUCUGAAGAUCUUUUUUUCGAUUUAUUCUUCUAACAUAGCAAAAAAACUUACCUCAUAUAUAUAGCCUUCAAAGAUAUCAAAUUUUCUGCCCAAAAAAUUCGAAAAUCUUCAUAUUUUUGAACGUUUUUUUUGGAUCAAUGGAAGGCAUGGAUCGAUUUACAUCUAUACACGGCUCCUAUUCAUCCAGCAAAUCAUUCCUAUAGUACAGAAAUCAUGUGAUUUUGAGAGAAUAUCCAUAUUCUUUCUAACAAAAACCGUUGGGAAUCAAAUGACGUGGAGGGGAAGGGUCCCAUUUAAGUGAACUCGCCUGAGUUCCAGGCAAGUUGAGGGCUGGGUCGAGGGUUGAAGAAGAGGAACAGUAAUGGUGCAACGUUUCUGUGUUAGGUCUAGGGUUUGGAAUUGGGGAAAUAUUUAUAAGAUGGGGGUUUAUAUGGAGGGGAAAUGGGCGGGCCGGUUUAUUUUUGUCACGACCCAAACCGAUGGGCCGCAACGGGCACCCGGUAC
RNAcentral lists this long non-coding RNA (4836 nucleotides) under Nicotiana tabacum (common tobacco). Its description in RNAcentral is "long non-coding RNA (NTAB_LNC013913)". Lineage: Eukaryota; Viridiplantae; Streptophyta; Magnoliopsida; Solanales; Solanaceae. The record is from RNAcentral.